Molecule: long non-coding RNA, 1153 nt
Filed under: Carica papaya (papaya)
Lineage: Eukaryota; Viridiplantae; Streptophyta; Magnoliopsida; Brassicales; Caricaceae
Description: long non-coding RNA (CPAP_LNC010676)
Source: RNAcentral
UAAGAAUGAUAUCUCCAGUUUCGCUCUCAAACCCUCUCUCUCCUCUCUGAAAAUCUCUCCAUUUUCUCAUCUUUCAUUCCACAAUCAAAUUAAAACGUUAAACCCCUUUGUUCCUUUCGUUUACGGUUCAAUUCUUUAACCUGAAGCUCAACUGCCAUUUUUUUGUGACUUCUUCGGGAAAAUUCGUAGGAUUUUGAGGAAUAGAAAAUCUAGGUUUUAUUUGAAUUCGUAGAAUGGAGAUAACAACAAUGAAUAUUAAGGGAUGGGAUUGAUGAGGUUGAGAGAUUGGCAAGAGGAAAGAGUAUACUUCCUGACAGAUUACGGUACUUGACUGAAGAAGCAUCUGACCUCCCAUGAGGUGGCAUUGGUUUGUGGGUAAGUUUCUUUCACUCUCGGCAUAACAGAGUUAUUAUCUUUUUAAUUGUGCUCAAUUUGUGUACUUCCGCUUUAGUUUCUGAGAACAUCGACAAACUGGUAGGUAGUACAGUGAAAUUACAUUAGCUGUUAUAAUGCUUAUUUCAAAAGAGAGAGAAUUAGAAACACUUCAGUGACUGGGAAUAUGGAGAGAUUUUACUGAUUCCUUAACAUUAGUGGAUAUUUAAGGCUUUGGCCAAAAGAGAGAUGGAUCAAAAACAAAAUUAUGCUAACCAAAUGAUAGUAUGACAGGAAUUAUCUAGGUAUUUGCUUGUUUGUUAUUAAGAUAAAUCCAAUCUACUUGAUUAAAAGCAGCGACCUUAAUUUUGAGUUAUGGAGAGGUCGAGCUUGCAUGGAUUACGAGUGCUAGCUUUUUUUUCGAUUGAGCAUGUAAAGCCUAGUGAUUAUGUGUCGUUAUACUAGCGUGGGGAGACACGUAGGAGAAAAGAGAUGAAGGAGAAGAGAGUGAAGGUAGGUGUUUAUUCUUAUAUUCCUAUAAUCUUAAUUUUUUUUAUAAUUAUUUAUUUUUGUAACAAGUUUUAUUCAUUUUGUUAAUAUGCACCCAUAAUUAACUUUUAUAUUUAAGGGGGUUUUGGAAAUAAACCCUCCUAAAAACCCCUUAACUUAAAACUCAUCACUGCAGUUUUUCUCUUGAUCUCCUCUAAUGAGGGGUGAGGAGAUAGAAGAGGAGAGGAAGGCCUUAUAUAGAUGACUUUCAUAAUGAUUCAUUAACUUACGG